UACGGAGGGCGCAAGCGUUGUUCGGAAUUACUGGGCGUAAAGCGCGUGUAGGCGGCCAGGUAAGUCGGAUGUGAAAGCCCGGGGCCCAACCCCGGAACUGCACCCGAUACUGCCCGGCUGGAGUCCCGGAGAGGAUGGCGGAAUUUCCGGUGUAGAGGUGAAAUUGGUAGCUAUCGGAAGGAACACCAGGGGCGAAGGCGGCCAUCUGGACGGUGACUGACGCUGAGGCGCGAAAGCGUGGGGAGCAAACAGG
Molecule: ribosomal RNA, 253 nt
Filed under: uncultured bacterium
Lineage: Bacteria
Description: partial 16S ribosomal RNA
Rfam family: Bacterial small subunit ribosomal RNA
Source: RNAcentral